Molecule: RNA transcript, 1752 nt
Organism: Poeciliopsis prolifica (blackstripe livebearer)
Lineage: Eukaryota; Metazoa; Chordata; Actinopteri; Cyprinodontiformes; Poeciliidae
Gene: cldn1
Gene name: claudin 1
Exons: 7
Source: RefSeq, a predicted model, not a curated record
AUGGUGAUACAGUUCGUCAUGGCGAAGAUGGCAGUCGAGGAGGGAAGCUCCGACAGAAUCCUCCACCUUCAAUGACCGUACAGAGGAUUGUUCCCAAUGGCCACAUUUGUUUCAUCCUUGUAAAGGUCAAAAAAUGUCAAAUUCUGGAGUCCAGCUUCUUGGCUUCUCCCUGGCCGUCCUCGGCUUCAUUGGGACAAUAGCAUGCACGGCCAUGGUGGAGUGGAAAGCUUCGUCGUACUUGGGGAGCAACAUCAUCACAGCUCAGGCGAUGUAUGAGGGUCUGUGGAAGAGCUGCAUGUGGCAGACCACCGGGCAGAUGCAGUGUAAAGUCUACGACUCAUUCCUUCAGCUGCCAUCGAACAUACAGGUGACCCGGGGGCUCAUGUGUGCAGCCAUCUUCCUCUGCUUCAUAUCCAUAAUGGUGACAGUGGUGGGAAUGGAGUGCACCACCUUUAUGGGUAAGCAACCGCAGAAGAAGUCCAAAGUAGCUCUGGCUGGAGGAGUGAUCUUCAUUAUAGCUGGUGUGGUUGCCCUGAUUGGAACAGCCUGGUAUGGCCACAGAAUAGCCCAGGACUUCUACAGCCCUUUAUCUCCCACUAGCUCCAGGUCUGAAUUCGGGUCUGCCUUGUACGUCGGAUGGGGAGCGGCCUGCAUGUGCAUCAUUGGUGGGGGCUUCCUGUGCUGUAUGUGUUCAGACAGGCGCUUCUCCGAUAAAGGCUCCAGCUACCCUUCGUCCAGCUCUGCAGGAGGCAGAGGCUACGUGUGAGGAGGAGCUCUGGCUCAGCCACCAGUCCACCGGAAUAUACAGCUCUAUGUCAAUAAACGCCAGAAACUCUUACUCGUUCUGAAGCUCUUCCUUCAAGAAGUCAUCGCAACAUGGCUCCUGUAUUAACCCUGGCAACGUUUUUACCGCCAUGGGAGAUUUCUCAAACAUGUAUGAAAGAAUCAAGGCAACACACCAGGUUGUUCUGACGUGUUUUCCAGCCCACCACCUGCUGGUUCAAGAUGAACCAGCAGAAGAGGGAAGGAAUCGGAUGAAUGCAAACAUCUCCACGCUUUUAAUGUGGCAGAUAAAAAUCACACAAAAACAAACCAAAACACAUUUGAAUAUUCUUCGUUUUCACGUUGCUGAGAUUUCAGAUAACGACUGUUAGUUAAAUUCAACGGAUUUGUUAACUAACUGAAGAAUUGGUGAAAAUGUGUCGCCUGGAGGAAUUUCCUUCACCUGGAAACCAGACCAGCUGUUCCAACAUGCCUGUUCUCUUCACGAAACAUCUCAGGAGACAUUUGUUGCGACAUAAUAGAAUGCCUCCAAAGUAUGCCUUUAUUAUCUGCAAGAAAAAGCAGGAAGAGUGUCUGGAGGGAAGGUUUUCCUCCUCCUCCCUCUGACUGGAGAACGGCUCUUCUUAUCGGACUCUGUUUCUGGUUCAGUGUGAUGAUGCUCCGACGGGCUGGUGGAGAGUUGACCUUUGACUGUAGGAGAAACGUCACCGCAACACUGGACAGAGAAAGUUUGGAAAAUUUAGGGGACUUUCUCAAUCCACUCUAAGUGUUUCAGACAACACUUAGAGUGGAGAGAGGGCGCCACCCUGUGGCCAGGCCUUUCAUUACAGUUAAAAGUAGUAAAUAUUGUAAAGGUGAACACACAGUUAGGUAUUAACUUCUUACACUUUUGGGGGGGUGAUGACUUUUAGGAACAUUUUUACUAUACUGUGCUUUUUACUUUUACUUGAGUGUUUUUAUUCUUUAUUA